This 274-nucleotide ribosomal RNA is filed under the name uncultured bacterium. RNAcentral's name for it is "partial 16S ribosomal RNA". It matches the Rfam family "Bacterial small subunit ribosomal RNA", at positions 84 to 354 of the family's 1533-position model. The record is from RNAcentral.
CCCGCCGGCGACCGGCGCACGGGUGAGUAACGCGUAUGCAACCUGCCCGUUUCAGCGGGAUAACCCGGAGAAAUCCGGCCUAAUACCGCAUGUGGCCGAGGGGAGGCAUCUUCUUUCGGCCAAAGGAGGCGACUCCGGAGACGGAUGGGCAUGCGUGACAUUAGCUAGUUGGCGGGGUAACGGCCCACCAAGGCGACGAUGUCUAGGGGUUCUGAGAGGAAGGUCCCCCACACUGGUACUGAGACACGGACCAGACUCCUACGGAAGGCAGCAG